CAUGAUCUCACACUGCCAAGAAAAGCCUCUAGUCAGGAGAAGGUGCCCGUACCGCAAACCGACACAGGUAGGCGAGAAGAGAAUUCUAAGGCGCGCGGAAGAACUCUCGUUAAGGAACUCGGCAAAAUGACCCCGUAACUUCGGGAGAAGGGGUGCCUCGGUAGGGUGAAUAGCCCGAGGGGGCCGCAGUGAAAAGGCCCAAGCGACUGUUUAGCAAAAACACAGGUCUGUGCGAAGCCGCAAGGCGAAGUAUACGGGCUGACGCCUGCCCGGUGCUGGAAGGUUAAGGGGAGUGGUUAGGGGUAACCCGAAGCUAUGAACCGAAGCCCCAGUAAACGGCGGCCGUAACUAUAACGGUCCUAAGGUAGCGAAAUUCCUUGUCAGGUAAAUUCUGACCCGCACGAAUGGCGUAACGACUUGGGCGCUGUCUCAACGAGAGAUCCGGUGAAAUUUUAAUACCUGUGAAGAUGCAGGUUACCCGCGACAAGACGGAAAGACCCCAUGGAGCUUUACUGCAGCUUGAUAUUGAAUUUGGGUACGAUCUGUACAGGAUAGGUGGGAGCCGGUGAAGGUGGAGCGCAAGCUUCGCUGGAGGCGCCGUUGGGAUACCACCCUGAUCGUAUCUAGGUUCUAACCUGGUACCCUAAGCGGGUACGGGGACCGUGUCAGGCGGGCAGUUUGACUGGGGCGGUCGCCUCCUAAAGAGUAACGGAGGCGUUCAAAGGUUCCCUCAGAAUGGUUGGAAAUCAUUCGCAGAGUGCAAAGGCAAAAGGGAGCUUGACUGCGAGACCUACAAGUCGAGCAGGGACGAAAGUCGGACUUAGUGAUCCGGUGGUACCGCAUGGAAGGGCCAUCGCUCAACGGAUAAAAGCUACCCUGGGGAUAACAGGCUUAUCUCCCCCAAGAGUCCACAUCGACGGGGAGGUUUGGCACCUCGAUGUCGGCUCAUCGCAUCCUGGGGCUGAAGUAGGUCCCAAGGGUUGGGCUGUUCGCCCAUUAAAGCGGUACGCGAGCUGGGUUCAGAACGUCGUGAGACAGUUCGGUCCCUAUCUGUCGUGGGCGUAGGAAAUUUGAGAGGAGCUGUCCUUAGUACGAGAGGACCGGGAUGGACGUACCGCUGGUGCACCAGUUGUUCCGCCAGGAGCAUGGCUGGGUAGCUACGUACGGACGGGAUAAGCGCUGAAAGCAUCUAAGCGUGAAGCCCCCCUCAAGAUGAGAUUUCCCAGUAUGUAAGACCCCUUGAAGACGACGAGGUAGAUAGGUUGGAGGUGGAAGCACGGUAACGUGUGGAGCUGACCAAUACUAAUCGGUCGAGGGCUUAUCCA
RNAcentral lists this ribosomal RNA (1325 nucleotides) under Paenibacillus sp. HW567. RNAcentral describes it as "bacterial LSU rRNA". It matches the Rfam family "Bacterial large subunit ribosomal RNA", at positions 1593 to 2925 of the family's 2925-position model. The record is from RNAcentral. Lineage: Bacteria; Bacillati; Bacillota; Bacilli; Caryophanales; Paenibacillaceae.